Limulus polyphemus (Atlantic horseshoe crab) is the source of this 1486-nucleotide long non-coding RNA. RefSeq lists it as uncharacterized. NCBI's taxonomy places the organism in Eukaryota, Metazoa, Arthropoda, Merostomata, Xiphosura, Limulidae. The record is from RefSeq and is a predicted model, not a curated record. The transcript is spliced from 2 exons.
CGUCCAGGGUCAACCAGGCUUUGGUCAAACAAGCUAUGGAGUCGUCCAGGGUCAACCAGGCUAUGGACCUCCCGUUGAGCAAGUGGGUUAUCCACACUACUCGCAACAGCCUCCUGUGAUGUCGCCAGCCGGAUGGGGUCCUCAACACCAGCCGACUCAUACCGUAAUUUUGACUGAAGAAAAACCCAGAGAAAACGAUAGGAUGGCGGAGUGCUUCUUAUUGGGGUGCUGUUCGUCGAUAUUGUGUUGCUGUCUUCUAGACUCUGGACUUGAGUAGUUUUGUGUAUGAGCUGAAGUCAGUGUCUUAUUGUUUUUCAGACUGUUACUUUCAUUGUUACCUGGAUCCAAACAUAACUCAAUGAUAUGAUGUUUGUCUCCUAAAUGAAUAACAUUAGUGUUCCUUGACUCGAAGGACUGCAGUGUUUUUGUCAAUAGCGUAAUCUUGGGAUCGGUUUCGGUACAGUGUUUUCAUCUCCUAGGUACAUGGCUUCAUUAUUAGCCCAGUUUAAGUACUUAUUUCGGUCCUGUCGUAUAGACUCAUUUUAAUCUGGACUCGGGAACUGUCGGUAACUAGAAAAUGUUUAAUAAACAUCGCAAAGGAUAUUGCAAGUCUCAUGAACUUAUAGAUUUCUCUGAUUUGUAUAAUAAUCUUUCGCUUUAAUUAAAAAACUUUGUAAACGCAAAGUUCAACCUUUUGAGUAGUAUUCAACAUUAAUACACAUUUGUACUUAUACUGACUUUUUGGAUUCGGCUGAAACAACAAGUUUGAAGUCAAAAUUAACAGUUUUGUAGACAUUUUAGUGAUGAUUAAUGUAAUUGAAUGUUAAAGUUACAAUUGCCAACUUGGUGUUUACUGUGGAGAAAGAAAUAUCAACUUUAUGUUGGUUUAAAUAAAUAAUAAUGGUGUUACUAAUCUUGAUUUGUAAACGGCUCGUAUAAAAUAAUUAAAAAUUGCACUUUACCAACCGUUAACAGUCGUUCGCGUAAUUUGAUAACAUAAAUACCGUCUCAACUACUAUUGUGUGAGUCGUAUCUCAACCGGCCUGACGAUAUAUGAUAAUAGGCCUCAUUGACACUGGAUAUAGCAGAUAAGGUGUGUUUGACGUAUUGUUAUACGUUUUAUUUUACUUUUACUCAUAAGUUCUUAGAAUUAAGUUUUGUAUUAUAUUUUUAGAUAUAUUUACUAUUCAUAUUCUACUGGUUUUGGGGUGUUGUGUACAAUUUUAAGCGGAUUAUAAUUAUUUUCGUGUUUGACCUAAGUGGGCGGUGUAUGAUUAGCCAAUACUUAAAUAUACCAGAUUGUAGUCCAUUGCCAUUGUACGAAAUAUACAUAAUAAAAUUUAAAGAAAUAAAAUAUUUGGUAGAUGGUUUCGAACUCUGUUCGAAGUUGUGUUUGCUAAUGACACUGUUAGCCAAUCACGUUUGAUAUAUUACGUGUAAAUAUGGAAAAUGUUUUAUUGAGAAAUAAAGUUUGUUUUCACCGUUA